Molecule: long non-coding RNA, 707 nt
Organism: Phragmites australis (common reed)
Lineage: Eukaryota; Viridiplantae; Streptophyta; Magnoliopsida; Poales; Poaceae
Exons: 5
Source: RefSeq, a predicted model, not a curated record
GGUUUUCAUCUCUUGUACCUCUUCACGCUGUUUGAUCCACAAGGAGACUGUCACAGGAUUGAGUUUGUUAUUUUGCUCUUUGUGCUGUUUGAUCCGCAAGGAGGUUGUCACAGGUUUGAGCUCGCCAUUUUUUUGGUUUCUACCUCCCGAAGCCCUUCGUGUUGUUUGAUCUGUAAGGAGUUUGGCACAGGGUUGAGUUUGCUAUUUUUGAGAUGCUGUUGGUGCGUCCAAACAUACUAUUGCUUGAAUAAGGCUAUUCCGAGAUAGCUCAGAUACUGCAAAGUCGACUAAAACUACGAACACAUUUUGGUUUUGAAAGCACUCCUUGUCUUUUGCCACAGGAAGGAGCCUGAUCUUCUCUUCUUUUUUUUUGUUGGAGCUUGCUUUUGAACCUGUGUAGGCCAACCUAUUAACCUGCUACCCAUAGCAGACGACAUUUUCACUGAUCCUCCUAUAUAUAGUAAUGUACAUACUGGCAGAACAUCAAAGUUAUCUAAGGAACUAAGCGUAUCAAAGCUGCAUUACCAUGUGCUCCUCCAACUAGGUUCUUUAAGCAGGAUAGUGUCAGGCUCUCCUAGUAGUGGCCAUUUAUAGUUUAGGAAUGUAUAAUUCAGCACCCACUAACAUCUAGAUAGCAAAAUUGCUCUUGUAAUUCCAGGUAACCAACAUGAUAAACAUAUUCGGUAGUACCUCUGAUACUAUUGCCU